Molecule: transfer RNA, 76 nt
Filed under: Diplodia seriata
Lineage: Eukaryota; Fungi; Ascomycota; Dothideomycetes; Botryosphaeriales; Botryosphaeriaceae
Rfam family: tRNA
About the family: Transfer RNA (tRNA) molecules are approximately 80 nucleotides in length. Their secondary structure includes four short double-helical elements and three loops (D, anti-codon, and T loops).
Source: Rfam by way of RNAcentral
GGCCGCGUGGCCCAAUGGCCAGGCGCUUAACUACGAAUCGAGAGACUGCAGGCUCGAUCGAUCCCUGCCGUGGUCA